GCCUGGGACUGGCAGGCGCGACUGGGAGCCUUUCAGGCUACCCCGACACCCCUGAGCUGGACUCCAGCUCACUUGGCUCCAAACUCUUUGCUCUUACACUACGGGAAUGCGGUGGCGGGGAGGGACAUAAAAUCAGCGACGAGGCUUCGCGAGUGAGAAACCCUGACCUGUCCUUUGGGUUCAGGGAGACAGGUGUGUGGGCUCAUCCCUGGUUUCCUAAAGAGGGAGCCUCCUCGCUGCUGGGCCAGUCGGCAGACACGGGGGUCCAGGAGUCCGCCUGCGCAGGGAAGGAUGAAGCUGGGCAGGCAUCCAGCGCAGAGGGGGUCCCCAAUCCUGAGCCUGUGGCAGGAAUGCUCACUCCUUGCCAACAGUCCACCUAGCCAUCCAUUAAGGCUCACCAAGUCCACAGAGCUGCUUGCUAGGAAGGCAGAGGAGGAAAGACUCCAGGAGAGUGAAUAAGCUGUCCGGACCCAAGGAAAAGGGUGCCUUUGCCACAGAGCUGAAGGCUUUCCAGGAGACGCUGGCCCAGAACAGUGAAAUGAGUUGAGAGUUUGGAAACUGACCCCCUUUCUGUACCUUCUCUCUGGCUCUCUUGGUGGAAAUGGGUACAAAUCUGGGAACAUCCAGGGUGAUGUGAAUCCCCAAGCACCUAACGUGGAUCCUUACAUGUAAUGAGUACCUUAAUAAACGCUGAUUAGUGGGGAGUUAGGGAAGGCUUUCUGGGGGGGGUGGCCAGGCAAGGAGGUAAUGCAUGCCAGGCUGAAGAGAGUGAGGUAAGGGUCUAAAGUCUCCACAGCAGAACCCAGCUGAAGGGGGCCAGGGAUGUCGGGAGUGGGGAUACAAAGCUCAUCCUUCAGGGAAGUAGGAGAGGGCCCUAAAGUCUCCUCCUCUAGCCUUGCGGCCACAGGCUCUGGCUACCUCUAAGUUUCCUUCCUUCUGUGUAGAGAGGAAACCUAGAUCCUGACUGCAGGGUCUUUGGGGUAACAGCUUUAUUAAGGUACAAUCACAUACUAUCCAAAGCCAGAGGUCACUGGCUUCCAGAAUAUUCAUCAUGCUGUGCAAUUAUGACUAGCCUCAAUUUUAAAUUUUAUGUUAGAUUUUAUGUGCAUGAGUGUUUGCCUGCAUAUAUGUAUGUGUAUCACAUGU
Peromyscus leucopus (white-footed mouse) is the source of this 1146-nucleotide long non-coding RNA. RefSeq lists it as uncharacterized. NCBI's taxonomy places the organism in Eukaryota, Metazoa, Chordata, Mammalia, Rodentia, Cricetidae. The transcript has 3 exons. The record is from RefSeq and is a predicted model, not a curated record.